AUGCCGCCGCCCGCCGCCCCCGUCGCCACCACCGGCUCCAGGCGCGCCGUCUACCUCCUCCUCGCAGCGCUCGCGGCGGCCCCCUUCCUCCUCCUCCUCUUCUUCAACGGCGGCGCCUCCCCGUCCGCGCUCUGCCGCUCCUCCCCCGCCCCCCGCCGCAUCCCGUACCCGUCCGUCCUCUGGUCCCGCGUGCCGCCCCUCCCGGGGCUCCCCUCCUCCCCGCUCCCCGACCUCCGCGCCUCCCACUGGAUCGUCUUCUCCGCGUCGCCCCACCACCAGCGCCACCGCCCGCUGGCCGCCGCCCCCGGCUGGCAGCUCCUCGCCGUCGCGGACGAGGCCACCCCGCCCGGCUGGUCCCACCCGGGCGCCGCGCUGCUCACCCUCGCCGACCAGGCCCGCCUCGGCUUCCGCUCCGUCGAGUUCCUCCCCGCCCGCGGCCACGCCCGCAAGGCCGCCGCGUACCUCUUCGCCGUGCAGCGCGGCGCGCGCGUCGUCUACGACGCCGACGCCCGCAACGCCGUGACCGGCAACAACCUCACCAGGCACUUCGAUGUCGAUCUGGACCAGCGCCAGGGGGGCGGCUCCGUUCUGCUGCAGUACAGCCACGCCGAUCCCAACCGCACGGUGGUGAACCCGUACGUGCACUUCGGGCAGCCGUCGGUCUGGCCGCGGGGGCUGCCGCUGGAGAAGGCCGGGGAGGUGGGCGCCGAGGAAUUCUACACGAUGGUGUACGGCGGUGGGCAGUUCAUACAGCAGGGGCUGUGCAAUGGCCUUCCAGAUGUUGACGCUGUGUUCUACCUCACACGAAAGUCACUGGAAAUGGAGGCUUUCGAUGUUCAGUUUGAUGCAGACGCACCCAAGGUAGCAUUGCCACAGGGCGUGAUGGCGCCAGUCAACUCACUGAACACAAUGUUCCAUGCACCGGCGUUCUGGGGUCUUGCAUUGCCGGUCUCGGUGAGUCCGAUGGCGUCCGAUGUUAUCCGUGGGUAUUGGGCGCAGAGGAUACUAUGGGAGAUUGGGGGCCAACUAGUUGUGUACCCACCGACUGUGCAUCGCACUGAUAAUGUGCAUGCUCAUCCAUUCGACGAGGAGAAGGAUAUCCAUGUCAAUGUAGGGAGGCUGAUAAAUUUCCUGAUGGAGUGGCGGUCGACGAAACCGACACUCUUUGAGCGGAUUCUUGAUUUGAGUUAUGCGAUGACGGAGGAGGGUUUCUGGUGGGAGAAGGAUUUGCAUUUCAUGGCUGCGUGGCUGCAAGAUCUGGUCGCUGUCGGGUACAGGCAGCCAAGGUUGAUGUCAUUGGAGAUCGACCGCCCGAGAGCGGCCAUUGGUCAUGGGGAUAAGCAGGAGUUUGUCCCCAAGAAGCAGCCUUCUGUCCAUCUUGGGGUUGAGGAGAUUGGGGAAGUAAGCACUGAGAUUGGCAAUCUCAUAAAAUGGAGGAAGCACUUUGGUGAUGUUGUGCUUAUAGUGCAUUGCACCGGACCUGUGGACCGGACUACACUAGAGUGGAGGCUUCUUUAUGGCCGGAUAUUCCGGGCAGUGGUUAUUCUUUCAGAGCAUGGCAAUUCAGAUCUUGCUGUCGAAUCCAGCAACUUUGCACAUGCAUACAAGUACUUGCCCAAGGUGUUUGAUCGGUUUGCAGGCGCUGAAGGAUUUGUAUUCCUUCAGGAUCAUAUGGUCCUAAAUUAUUGGAACCUAUUGGAUGCUGAUAAAUCCAAGCUCUGGAUAACCAACAAGGUGAAGGAAUCAUGGUCCGAUGUCCCUCUACCGGGAAAUAACAAUGAAUGGUUUAUGAACCAAGGAAAUAUGGUAAAAAAGGCGGUUGACAGUUUUCCAGUUCACCAUCAAGCCAAUUACAAAAGAAGCAUAGGUGAAGAUAAGAUAAUUCAUUGCAGCAGUGAGAUAUUCUACAUACCUCGACGGUACACCGGUGACUUCUCCUACCUCGUUAAAGUUAUCGGAAACCUAGACAUCCAUCACACCAUUGGAGUCCCCAUGUUGUUCCUUGCAAUGGAUGUACCGAGCAAUUUUGAACCCAAAGCUUUGGGAAAACUUGCUUAUCGGACAAACUUGCCAUCAGAUACCACUUUCUCGGCGAUAUAUACUCCUGAAGCACAUGCUGUGUACCCUAUGAAGGUUGAGAAUGAAAUUGAUUUUGUAAAACUAAUCAGAGUCAUGGCUUCAGGAGAUCCUUUUCUUCUGGAGUUGGUCUGA
This 2211-nucleotide ribosomal RNA is filed under the name Triticum aestivum (bread wheat). Its description in RNAcentral is "partial small subunit ribosomal RNA". Lineage: Eukaryota; Viridiplantae; Streptophyta; Magnoliopsida; Poales; Poaceae. The record is from RNAcentral.